GGGGCGCCUGUGGGAGUCGUGGAGGGAACUUUCCCAGGCCCCGAGGCGGAUCGGGUAUUGAGUCCAUGGAGCGAGCUGAGAGCUAGAGUACAGAACCUGCUAAGGCCAUCAAACCUAUCGAUCGGAAGUCAGUCCAUCAGAUUUGCUCUGGGCCGGUGGUACUGAGUCUAAGCACUGCGGUGAAGGAGUUAGUAGAAAACAGUCUGGAUGCUGGUGCCACCAAUAUUGCGAUGUCACCAUUUCUACCUGCCACGCAUCGGCGAAGGUUGGGACUCGACUGGUGUUUGAUCACGAUGGGAAAAUCAUCCAGAAAACCCCCUACCCCCACCCCAGAGGGACCACAGUCAGCGUGAAGCAGUUAUUUUCUACACUACCUGUGCACCAUAAGGAAUUUCAAAGGAAUAUUAAGAAGGAUGGCCGUAUAAGAAAAUAAACAACUUGCUAAAACUGCUGAAACUCCCUCUGCUUGUGAGAUUUAAAAAAACUGGCUGAAAUUGGUUGGAACCAACAUGUCCAAUGGAGUCUGAAUAGAAAGAGCUUGCUGACAUCACAGCCCGAAUUUCCACCACAUUUCAUACUAACUCCCCCUGAAUUUGCAUAUGCAAACCACAAGCAAGCAUGAUCAAACAGACAACUGCGCGUGUCCGAGGACUUUCCAGAUCUCCCCUUUCCUUCCACCAAUCACUUACUAAUCUGAGAAUCCAUCCCCUAAUAAAAUCACUGCCUUAAAGCCUGCACAGGAAGACAAAUU
Long non-coding RNA from Homo sapiens (human), 751 nucleotides. Ensembl annotates it as PMS1 homolog 2, mismatch repair system component pseudogene 4. Its record names the gene PMS2P4. The record is from Ensembl. NCBI's taxonomy places the organism in Eukaryota, Metazoa, Chordata, Mammalia, Primates, Hominidae.